Molecule: ribosomal RNA, 397 nt
Filed under: uncultured bacterium
Lineage: Bacteria
Description: partial 16S ribosomal RNA
Rfam family: Bacterial small subunit ribosomal RNA
Source: RNAcentral
AAUAUUGGACAAUGGGGGCAACCCUGAUCCAGCCAUGCCGCGUGAGUGAUGAAGGCCUUAGGGUUGUAAAGCUUCUUCAGUGGGGUAGAUAAUGACGGUACCCACAUCAUACGCUCCUGCUAACUUCGUGUCAGCAGCCUCGGUAAUACGAAGGGGGCUAGCGUUGUUCGGAUUUACUGGGCGUAAAGCGCACGUAGGCGGAUUGGUCAGUUAGGGGUGAAAUCCCGGAGCUCAACUCCGGAACUGCCUUUAAUACUGCCAGUCUAGAGUCCGAGAGAGGUGAGUGGAACUCCUAGUGUAGAGGUGGAAUUCGUAGAUAUUAGGAAGAACACCAGUGGCGAAGGCGGCUCACUGGCUCGGUACUGACGCUGAGGUGCGAAAGCGUGGGGAGCAAACA